GCUGAACACUUCAUACAAACACCAAGCAUGUAGAUGAACUUCCCCAAAACAAUGAAGUCUCUACCAAGCAAAUCUACACCAUGCCUUUUCUUAUCAAAUCCUUCCAUGGCUGGAAGCAUAAAAGCCGCUGCAUACUGGGGAAACUUAUUCUGGGACCAUUCAAGCUGGUUUACCGGUAAAGCUGAAUGAAGGCUCCAACGGCGUGUCUUUCCUCUCUUGAUCUGACCUGAUUUAGGGGGAAGUUCUCUCUCAUA
RNAcentral lists this unclassified non-coding RNA (254 nucleotides) under Hevea brasiliensis (rubber tree). Lineage: Eukaryota; Viridiplantae; Streptophyta; Magnoliopsida; Malpighiales; Euphorbiaceae. The record is from RNAcentral.